Small nuclear RNA from Talpa occidentalis (Iberian mole), 159 nucleotides. RefSeq annotates it as U1 spliceosomal RNA. NCBI's taxonomy places the organism in Eukaryota, Metazoa, Chordata, Mammalia, Eulipotyphla, Talpidae. The record is from RefSeq and is a predicted model, not a curated record. The transcript has a single exon.
AAACUUACCUGGCAGGGGAGACACCACGUUCACGAAGGUGAUUUUCCCAGGGCCAUGCACUGUACUCUGGGCGUGCUGACCCCUGCGGUUUCCCCGAAUGCAGGAAACUUCACUGCGUAAUUUGUGGUAGGGGGGUGUCUGCGUGUAUGCUCUGCCCUG